This 497-nucleotide ribosomal RNA is filed under the name uncultured bacterium. RNAcentral's name for it is "partial 16S ribosomal RNA". It matches the Rfam family "Bacterial small subunit ribosomal RNA", at positions 28 to 507 of the family's 1533-position model. The record is from RNAcentral.
GAUGAACGCUGGCGGCGUGCCUAAUACAUGCAAGUCGAGCGAACAGACGAGGAGCUUGCUCCUCUGACGUUAGCGGCGGACGGGUGAGUAACACGUGGAUAACCUACCUAUAAGACUGGGAUAACUUCGGGAAACCGGAGCUAAUACCGGAUAACAUGUUGAACCGCAUGGUUCAACAGUGAAAGACGGUUUUGCUGUCACUUAUAGAUGGAUCCGCGCCGCAUUAGCUGGUUGGUAAGGUAACGGCUUACCACGGCAACGAUGCGUAGCCGACCUGAGAGGGUGAUCGGCCACACUGGAACUGAGCCACGGUCCAGACUCCUACGGGAGGCAGCAGUAGGGAAUCUUCCGCAAUGGGCGAAAGCCUUACGGAGCAGCGCCGCGUGAGUGAAGAAGGUCUUCGGAUCGUAAAGCUCUGUUAUUAGGGAAGAACAAAUGUGUAAGUAACUAUGCACGUCUUGACGGUACCUAAUCAGAAAGCCACGGCUAACUACGUG